Rana temporaria (common frog) is the source of this 366-nucleotide long non-coding RNA. RefSeq lists it as uncharacterized. The record is from RefSeq and is a predicted model, not a curated record. The transcript has 3 exons. Lineage: Eukaryota; Metazoa; Chordata; Amphibia; Anura; Ranidae.
CUUUAGUCUUUCUUGUGAUAUAUACAUGGUGUUGAUAUGGAUUCUCAAACUUUGCUUUUGUGCUUUUCAUUUUUCUAGAAGAGGUCCAAUGCCCUGAGGAAGAUUCUAUUAGUAAUUGAAAUGAAUUGGAUAUCCCUCUACCCGUAACCACCAGUUCAUCCACUGGUGGUCACUACAAGUAGCUGGAAUUGCCACUUUCAAUCAUACUGGCUGGAGGAUCUACAGGGGGGAGAAUGAGAGGAAUUAUGUCCAAUAUUCAGAAGAGCUACCAGGGCUGCCUUUUUGGAAUAAAAGCCCUUUCCCUAAACAGACCCAUAAACGCACAACAGAUUCUCAACAGACCGAAUCAUCAUGUGGUGCCAGAGG